RNAcentral lists this ribosomal RNA (206 nucleotides) under uncultured bacterium. RNAcentral describes it as "partial 16S ribosomal RNA". It matches the Rfam family "Bacterial small subunit ribosomal RNA", at positions 1295 to 1500 of the family's 1533-position model. The record is from RNAcentral.
GGAUCGCAGGCUGCAACCCGCCUGCGUGAAGCCGGAAUUGCUAGUAAUCGCGGAUCAGCAUGCCGCGGUGAAUACGUUCCCGGGCCUUGUACACACCGCCCGUCACACCAUGAGAGCCGGGGGGACCCGAAGUCCGUAGCCUAACCGCAAGGAGGGCGCGGCCGAAGGUAAAACUGGUGAUUGGGGUGAAGUCGUAACAAGGUAGC